GUCCUAGCCUUAAACGAUGCAUACUAGAUGUUGGAGGGCUCAACCCCACCAGUAUCGGAGCUAACGCGUUAAGUAUGCCGCCUGGGGAGUACGCUCGCAAGGGUGAAACUCAAAAGAAUUGACGGGGGCCCGCACAAGCAGUGGAGCAUGUGGUUUAAUUCGAUGCAACGCGAAGAACCUUACCUGGGCUCGAAAUGUAGAGGACGAUGCAAGAGAUUGCAUUUCCCGAAAGGGUCUCUAUAUAGGUGCUGCAUGGCUGUCGU
This 263-nucleotide ribosomal RNA is filed under the name uncultured bacterium. RNAcentral describes it as "partial 16S ribosomal RNA". It matches the Rfam family "Bacterial small subunit ribosomal RNA", at positions 793 to 1055 of the family's 1533-position model. The record is from RNAcentral.